AGUGCAGCUCGUGCUGACGCAGGACUGUGUAAGGGAUCCGCAGCCAUGCCCGCUGCGGUCCCUUGGCGGUCCGUGCUGUUCAGGGCUGCUCGGCCGGCACGGAGGAGCCGCCACCUUAAAUGCUGCCCAGCGCCGUGCAGGCACGGCUCCCUGCGCUGCCCUGCACUCACGGUGCUCCUGACUCGUAGUUUUAAUUUCCCUCGUGCCUGGAGACACAAUCAGCCACACAUCAGAAUAUUAUCUUUUAUAAAAAUCAGAAUGGUGAUCUGAAAAGAACAUAAGGAAGGAACAAUGAGGACAUUAUCUUGGCCUUUGAUCAUGAAAUUCUGUGUUUACUCAUGUGAGCUCUGUGAUUGUUGCCAGAUGAAUAACACACAUCCUCAGUCUGGUUUCUGAAGUGGACAGGUAUUAAAAACCCCAAAUGUUUGCAAAAUUGAAUACUACCCAGUACACAGCUCUAUGAAAAGGAGUAGUUAAAAACGAGAUUUGUAAAGUGCCCACCUAUUUCCACACUUGACUUCUGCAGGUCAGUGCAUGGGGUCAUACAGAAAAAGCUUGGUAGUUACACCACCAGUUAUCUUCAUCUCAGACAUGCAGUUUAGGCUUUACUGCGGGCCCAACAAUAAUGCAUUUAAUAAAUACCAAAGAUAAUUGCUUUAAAUGGAGAGGGAACUAACAGCAAAUUUGCCAAAAUACAGAAAAAAAAGAGAUGAAAUUAACUCCCAAAGUAGACACUCAUGACUAAAAUUUAUAUACCCCCAAUCAUCUGAGAAAGUCCCACAAAAGCACUCUGAAUUGCAGUACUGUCAAGCCACUGAAACCAUAAAAUACAGCUAAAUUAUUAAUACAAAUAUAACUAUAAGCCUUUCUGUCUUCUUCAUGCAUUUCCUAACAUUCUUAACAGAAACAAUUCAGCAUUGAGUGGUCUUCUCAAGGUCUUGGUCUUGCUGCAGUUCUUGUUCACAAGACUGUAGUAGUUUAUUGAAAGAAGACAUAAAGGUGAGUCUGUGUCUACUUUAUUAUCACAUGCAGACACAAGUGGGACAGGGUGAGCCACACCAGCCUUCACAGCUGGCAGACAACCACAACUACAGCCGACUUUGGAUCAAGCAGCCCAUGUGCUGCUCUAUGCAUCCUCCCUCUGAGAGCCUGCUCAGCCCCUUCCUAAAGCUCACAGAAGUUUCCAUGAGGUGCAGGGGGCCCAGUGGCUGUACAAUCAUAGAACCAGAGCAUAUGCUGAGUUGGAAGGGACCCAUCAGAGUCAUUGAGUCCAACUCUGGUCCUACUCAGGACAUCUCAAAAAUCCCACAAUGUGCCUGAGAGCACUGCCCAAAUGCUUCUUGAGCUCUGUGAGGCUCGUGGCUGUGACCACUUCCCUGGGAUGCCUGUUCAAGUGCCCAACCACACUCGGUGAAAAACCUUUUCCUGAUACACGACCUGAACCACCUAUGACUCAGCUUCAUGCUGUUUUCUCAAGUCCUGUCACUGGGUACCACAGAGAUCAGUACCUGCCCCUCUUCCUCUCACGAACAAGUUGAAGACUGAAAUGAGGUCUCUCCUCAGUCUCCUCCAGGCUGAAUAGAUCAAGUGACUUCAGCCACUCCUCACAUGGCUUCCCAUCAAGGCUCUUCACCAUUCUUAUAGUCCUUCUUUGUAUGCUAGUAGCUUAAUGUUAUUUUUAUACAGUGGCACCCAAAACUGCCCCAGCAC
Catharus ustulatus (Swainson's thrush) is the source of this 1710-nucleotide long non-coding RNA. RefSeq lists it as uncharacterized. The transcript is spliced from 3 exons. The record is from RefSeq and is a predicted model, not a curated record. NCBI's taxonomy places the organism in Eukaryota, Metazoa, Chordata, Aves, Passeriformes, Turdidae.